This 497-nucleotide ribosomal RNA is filed under the name uncultured bacterium. RNAcentral's name for it is "partial 16S ribosomal RNA". It matches the Rfam family "Bacterial small subunit ribosomal RNA", at positions 28 to 507 of the family's 1533-position model. The record is from RNAcentral.
GAUGAACGCUGGCGACGUGCCUAAUACAUGCAAGUCGAGCGAACGGACGAGAAGCUUGCUUCUCUGAUGUUAGCGGCGGACGGGUGAGUAACACGUGGAUAACCUACCUAUAAGACUGGGAUAACUUCGGGAAACCGGAGCUAAUACCGGAUAAUAUUUUGAACCGCAUGGUUCAAAGGUGAAAGACGGUCUUGCUGUCACUUAUAGAUGGAUCCGCGCUGCAUUAGCUAGUUGGUAAGGUAACGGCUUACCAAGGCAACGAUGCAUAGCCGACCUGAGAGGGUGAUCGGCCACACUGGAACUGGGACACGGUCCAGCCUCCUGCGGGAGGCAGCAGUAGGGAAUCUUCCGCAAUGGGCGAAAGCCUUACGGAGCAACGCCGCGUGAGUGAUGAAGGUCUUCGGAUCGUAAAACUCUUUUAUUAGGGAAGAACAUAUGUGUAAGUAACUGUGCACAUCUUGACGGUACCUAAUCAGAAAGCCACGGCUAACUACGUG